Myotis brandtii (Brandt's bat) is the source of this 491-nucleotide long non-coding RNA. RefSeq lists it as uncharacterized. The transcript has 3 exons. The record is from RefSeq and is a predicted model, not a curated record. Lineage: Eukaryota; Metazoa; Chordata; Mammalia; Chiroptera; Vespertilionidae.
ACUCUACGUGUUCAGCGCCCUCCAGCUCCCCGCUGUUCGGCAAGAGUUAAAUGACAUCAUGUGGAACGAGCCAACAUGCCACUGGCUAAAGGAUCAAUGAAUCAUGCUGUGGACGUGGCCAACAGUGAGGCCUUCCCUGGAAAAGCUUUCUCGUCCAAGGGGCCUGGCCAAUCUCACCAUGCAUCCCAGGGAGCUAUGAGAUGAGACUCAAGUCAAAGUGAAGAGAAGAAGUAACCACUUUGGAUAAAACCAAAAGAACCAAUGUGGUAGCCCAAUUGACCACUGGUGACAUGGAGAGCCUUAAGGGGACUUGUCAUCUCAACCCCUGUGGAGCAGUUUCGUGACACGACGCGGUGGCAGCCCAUAAGGAAACGUGUUUAUCUUGAAAGCACCCGGCAGAGACGGCAAGGAAGGGGCUGAGCUGGUGGGAAGACCCCAUUUCUCAAACCCAGCUUUCUGUGCGGAAUUAUUCAAAGGGAAACCUUAUCAAG